This 301-nucleotide ribosomal RNA is filed under the name uncultured bacterium. RNAcentral's name for it is "partial 16S ribosomal RNA". It matches the Rfam family "Bacterial small subunit ribosomal RNA", at positions 509 to 807 of the family's 1533-position model. The record is from RNAcentral.
CAGUCGCCGCGGUAAUACGAAGGGGGCUAGCGUUGUUCGGAAUUACUGGGCGUAAAGCGCACGUAGGCGGAUAUUUAAGUCAGGGGUGAAAUCCCGCAGCUCAACUGCGGAACUGCCUUUGAUACUGGGUAUCUUGAGUAUGGAAGAGGUUAGUGGAAUUGCGAGUGUAGAGGUGAAAUUCGUAGAUAUUCGCAGGAACACCAGUGGCGAAGGCGGCUAACUGGUCCAUAACUGACGCUGAUGCACGAAAGCUAGGGGAGCAAACAGGAUUAGAUACCCCAGUAGUCCCUGUCUCUUAUAC